ACUGAACGCUGGCGGCAUGCUUUACGCAUGCAAGUCGAACGGCAGCGCGGGCUUCGGCCUGGCGGCGAGUGGCGAACGGGUGAGUAAUACAUCGGAACGUGCCCAGUAGUGGGGGAUAGCUCGGCGAAAGCCGGAUUAAUACCGCAUACGACCUGAGGGUGAAAGCGGGGGAUCUUCGGACCUCGCGCUAUUGGAGCGGCCGAUGGCAGAUUAGCUAGUUGGUGGGGUAAAGGCCUACCAAGGCGACGAUCUGUAGCUGGUCUGAGAGGACGACCAGCCACACUGGGACUGAGACACGGCCCAGACUCCUACGGGAGGCAGCAGUGGGGAAUUUUGGACAAUGGGCGAAAGCCUGAUCCAGCAAUGCCGCGUGUGUGAUGAAGGCCUUCGGGUUGUAAAGCACUUUUGGCGGGAACGAAAAGGACUGUGCCAAUACCACGGUUCGAUGACGGUACCCGCAGAAUAAGCACCGGCUAACUACGUG
This 484-nucleotide ribosomal RNA is filed under the name uncultured bacterium. RNAcentral's name for it is "partial 16S ribosomal RNA". It matches the Rfam family "Bacterial small subunit ribosomal RNA", at positions 30 to 507 of the family's 1533-position model. The record is from RNAcentral.